AAACACACACAAUGGAAUACUACUCAGUCUUUAAAAGGAAGGAAAUCCUGACAUUUGUGACAACAUAGAUGGACCUGGAGGACAUUAUGCUAAGUGAAAUAAGCCAGGCACAGAAAGGUAAACACUGCACAGAAAGAUAAAUACUGCGUAAUCUCACCUAUAUGUAGAAUCUUAAAAAGGUGAACUUAGAUAAGCAGAGAGUAGAAUAGUGAUUACGGGGAGCGGGGGUGCGAUGGGGGUAGUUGGCAGACGUUGGUCAAAAGAUACAGAAUGUCAGUUAGAUAGAUGGAACAAGUUCCAGAGAUCUAUUUUACAACAUUUGACACGUUAAUAAUGUGUCAUAUUCCUAGAAUAUUAUGAAGAGUAAAUGUUUAGUAUCCUCUCUUAUGAUAAGUAUAAAAAGAUAAGUAUGAGAUAACACAUAGUUUAAUUAGCUCAAUUAGCCAUUCUUCAGUGUAUGCCUAUUUAAAAACAUUUUACACAAUAGAGGUACAAAAUUUUUGGGAAUUAAAAUAAUUUUAAAAACAUAGUCAGCAACUACCAGAAGCAAUUGAUGAAGCCAGGGGCAGAACUGAUAAUUGAAAACAAGGUGCUCCAGAUGGAAAAGUCAAGACAAAUAGACAGUUAUUCGGGCCUCACUAUGAGUGUCCAGGAGACAGAUUAGGAGGGCUGACAUACACUGGGAACUUAAUAUGCGGCUGGCACUCUCAAGAGUGUUCCAGAAACAAUGGUUCGUUUUGUUCUCACAAUACCUCCAUGAAGUAAGGAGUAUUGCAACCCUUACUUCACAUCUGAGGCUAUCUAGGCACAGAGAGGUUAAGCAACGAGCUCUAAGUCACACAGCCGCUCUGAUGUGACCCACGACCUCCCUUAGCCGAAUCUACAGAACUCCGAGUCGCUGGUGUCAGAGAACCUGGACCCCCAGCCCCCAAACGCACGGGGAGACGGGAGGUAGGCAUGGGGACCGCGGGGACAGCCAGAGCCAGCCCACGCACAGCUCCUGCGCCACGCAGGGCUGCCUGCAAAGGUUCACCGAGGCUGCGUGGUGCGGGCGGGGAGACGGUUGGAAAGGCAGCAGGGCCCAGGUGCGAGCGGGUGGUUUUCAGCCUCCGCUCAUCAAAGGCGAGUGGGGGAGGCGAGGGCAAGGUAUUGGUCCUGGUCGCCGAUUUGCCGCGUCCCAAGAGGACAAACUGGACCCAGGGCCCUGGGGGAGGCGCGGUGUCCUGCCAGGACCUCUGUCGGCAUCUGGUGGUCACCGGGGCACACGACAGCCGAGGCGGAGCGCGCGGGGCUCUAGGGCCUGGCUGCCAGGGGCCCGGGCCGGGCGGGAGGUGAGGGGGCGACCAAGGCCUGGGCGUCACGUGGAGCAGCGGUUCCGGGGCGUCUUCCUGCAGCUGCCAGCAGCCGGCGGCGGGCUCGGAGACGCGCACGCUGGAAUCUUGACCGAGACAGCACAUCCAGACAGCACAUCCGCGGGGCGCUCCUGUCACCAUGGUGCACUAGUUGUCUCCAGUUUGGACUCCAGAAGGCCACAGGAGUUGGUGGCUGGGACCCCAAAGGCAAGCGUCAGGGAAACCAGCGAGGUGACUGGAAGGAAGCAAGAGGCGGGAUGCAGGAAUUAGGUUUGUGGGUCUCACCUGGGAAGGGUCUGUAGUAUUCUUAGCUGGGCUGCAUUCCAAAGAAAUGAAAUUCGACUCUCUGGGUAUUGGGGGUGCAGGCCUUGGCAUUUAGUAAAUGCCCCCUGUGCGAUUUUCAGGAGCUGCCACUGGUGAGAGCCGUAGCCCUAGGUGAUGAGCUGAGUGCAGAUUUCAGGUGCAGGAGGAUGUGGGUUUGGGGGAGGGGCACGGUGCUCUGAAGACAUUGGCCUGGAUCCUGAGUACCAUGGCGAUUUCAUGACUGAUUACAUGGCCUUCUUGGAAAGCCAUUUGAUAACACUCGUGCCCUGGAAAUGCUGAUGUGGUCUCAGGGUGUAACGUGUUGAGUUGUGAUCACUGGAGAAGAGAAGCCUCCUCAGUAUGGGGCUGUCUCUGCUGCCCAGCCUGCUGCCAGUACCCUGCCGGGUCUCCUAGGCGGAGUACUAGCAAGAUAUCUGGACAAAUUGAAAUGGUCCUACAGACACAUAAAUCAGUAUGUCUUCCUCCCGAGAUGAACUUUAGUUUGGGGGGAAGAGGGCUUGUAGGUAUGGAUGUAGAGAGGGUAUUGAGAGAAAGAACCAUUCCUGUCUGCAGCAUCACACACAUGUCCAGCACCUAGAGGUCAGCCUUUUCCCUGUACCUUCUCCUCACUGCAUCCCCUUCCUCACUCCUUUCCAAACCCUGACUAUCUGAGAUGCCUACAUCAUAUCUCUUCCUUUGUAAACAGACAUACUGAAUUAAGAGUUCAUCUGAUCACCUAGUGCCAUACCCCUUAGCUUCAAAAUUCAUACGUUUUUAAAUCCAUGCAUACUGGGGACAUUGAAAAUGCAUGAAAAUAUGUAUUGUAAAAAAAGGGGGAGUGCAGCCGGUGCCGCGGCUCACUAGGCUAAUCCUCCGCCUUGCGGCGCCGGCACACCAGGUUCUAGUCCCGGUUGGGGUGCCGGAUUCUGUCCCGGUUGCCCUUCUUCCAGGCCAGCUCUCUGCUGUGGCCAGGGAGUGCAGUGGAGGAUGGCCUAAGUACUUGGGCCCUGCACCCCAUGGGAGACCAGGAUAAGUACCUGGUUCCUGCCAUCGGACCAGCGCGGUGUGCUGGCUGCAGUGCACCGGCUGCGGCGGCCAUUGGAGGGUGAACCAACGGCAAAGGAAGACCUUUCUCUCUGUCUCUCUCACUGUCCACUCUGCCUGUCAAAAAAAAAGGGGGGGGGGAGUGCAUAGCUUUCAAAAAUUUUUUUGUCCCAGAUAUACUUACUUUUUUAGAAGAUUAUUUAUUUGAAAGGCAGAGUUACAGAGAGGGAAAGGCAGAGAGAGAGGGAGGGAGAAAAUCUUUCAUCCGCUGGUUCACGCCCCAAAUGGCCACAAUGGCCAAGGCUUGGCCAGACUGAAACCAAGAACCAAGAGCUCCUUCCAGGUCUCCCAUGUGGAUGGCAGGGGCCCAAGCACUUGGGCCGUCUUCUGCUGCCUUCUCAGGCGCAUUAGCAGGGAGCUGGAUCAGAAGUGAAGCAGCCAGGGCUCAAUCCCAUGUCCAUAUGGGAUGCAGGUGGUGGCUUAACCCGCUAUGCCACAGCGCCAGUCCCCAGAUAUACUUAUUUUUAAGAACACUUUGUAUGUGCUUUCUGAAGUCUCCUCAAACAAAACGCAUGGUAUUUCAUUACCAAGUGAUUUGGAAAAUAAUUUUCCUAACACCUACUCUGUAUUCCUCAAGCCAUUCCUGGGCCUUCCCCAAGCCUUAACCUCUCCUCAACCAAAUAUCUGCCUUCACUUUGCUUCUGAAAACCAUCCCAUUCUUAAUCCAAUGUGAAAUCAUUUUUUUCCAAGACAUAUUACUAAGUAAAGUGUCAAUCAGGUACCCUUACACCUGAAAUUCAAACCAUCCAUAAUCUUCAGCAUAUCCCUCAGCCUCUACGCAUUGAAUCUGUUAUCAUUUAUAAGGGGUAUUUAAAAAGUGCACAAGUAAUGCAUAUUAGGAAUAAAAGUGUGGAUUUCAAAGUCUGCUGUACCA
This is a long non-coding RNA of Oryctolagus cuniculus (rabbit), 3633 nucleotides long. The record is from Ensembl. Lineage: Eukaryota; Metazoa; Chordata; Mammalia; Lagomorpha; Leporidae.